AAAGAUGUGAUGAGCCUUUCCCCAUAUGAUCGAAGUUGAUUCUAACUGUGCUAUUCUCAUAAUUUAGUCUCAUUUAUUGAGUAUCGAAUUUCCAAGCCAGAACUCUGAUCUUU
Non-coding RNA from Vigna angularis (adzuki bean), 113 nucleotides. The record is from Rfam. NCBI's taxonomy places the organism in Eukaryota, Viridiplantae, Streptophyta, Magnoliopsida, Fabales, Fabaceae.